This 30-nucleotide non-coding RNA is filed under the name Mus musculus (house mouse). Lineage: Eukaryota; Metazoa; Chordata; Mammalia; Rodentia; Muridae. The record is from RNAcentral.
UCAUCAAAGGUGUUAGAUUUUAGGUAUUGA